UACGGAGGGUGCAAGCGUUGUCCGGAUUUAUUGGGUUUAAAGGGUGCGUAGGCGGCCAUUUAAGUCUGGGGUGAAAGCCCGUUGCUCAACAACGGAACUGCCCUGGAAACUGGAUGGCUUGAGUACAGACGAGGGUGGCGGAAUGGAUGCUGUAGCGGUGAAAUGCAUAGAUAGCAUCCAGAACCCCCGAUUGCGAAGGCAGCUGCCUAGACUGUAACUGAUGCUGAGGCACGAAAGCCGUGGGGAAGCGAACAGGG
This 257-nucleotide ribosomal RNA is filed under the name uncultured bacterium. RNAcentral's name for it is "partial 16S ribosomal RNA". It matches the Rfam family "Bacterial small subunit ribosomal RNA", at positions 524 to 777 of the family's 1533-position model. The record is from RNAcentral.